Molecule: long non-coding RNA, 1256 nt
Filed under: Anser brachyrhynchus (Pink-footed goose)
Lineage: Eukaryota; Metazoa; Chordata; Aves; Anseriformes; Anatidae
Description: lncRNA (ENSABRG00000006584.1)
Source: RNAcentral
CCCAUUGAUAGAUGGAGGCAGAAAUUUUAAGCAGCCUUUUAGAAGUCGGAAAACAGGUAGAAGACAGGAAGAGAAGGCUUGCUCUUCACCUCCAUGAGUGUGGGCCUGUGAAGUGAGGGCUUCUGCCAUCUCCCCACCACUGCUCAGCAGCAGGUGGAGGUGAAGCCCCACAUGGCCCCCAGUGAGGUUGUUACCACAGCCAUAGAUGUGGGGCGCUGGGGGAGCCUGACAGAAGCACUGGUGGAUCCUCACUGGUGGGAGGAUCCAUAACCAUAACACAGUUGGGGAAGUGAAGUGAUGUGACACAGUGCAGCAGGAAAAGGCCCUUUGUGACCCAAAUGCUGCCAGUGCCGUGGUGGCCAGGCCGGGGCCUGGGCUGUGGCAUGGCCGAGGUGGGCUGGGCCUCCGUGGACGCCGGCCUUCCCGCAGAGAACUGCGAAACCCCUCUGUGUGGCAGGGCCUGCUUUCUCCAUGUCGCAGCCUGCGUACAGUCAGCGGUUGUAUCAAACUGGCUCUUAAAUGCAGGGGGUGCCGCACCCCCCUCCCUCUCCUAGCAGAGUUUUCGUCAGCUCUCCGAGCAUCACGCCUCAGAGCCCCAGCGGCGUUAUCCCUGCUGAAGCUGCUGAUUAAAUUCAGAACCCCACAUGAGGCAAAGCAAAAGUUUUUACUGAGGGAAAGGAAGACAGAAGAUCUUAUAAUCACCAGCCUUUUUGCCAGAAUCUGUGGCAGUCCCAGGAGUCAGCCAGGGAAGGAGAAGUUUUCUCUCCUCUGGCUGGGAGGGCUGUGCCCUCAGCGCUGCCUGGGGAAGGGCGAGGUGAGGGGUGGACCAGAGGAGGUCAGGAGCUGUGCAGUACCGUGAGCUCUCUUAGUGUUUUCUGAAACCUUUGCAGUCAGUCCAUGGACCUAACCUUUAGCCUUCAUCAAGCUGUUGCUUUAAUGGACACGACUUUUUUUUUUUUUUUUUGUUAAGAGUUGGCACAAAUCUUUUCAGCCAUCUUAAAAACUAUAAAGGCAUUGCACAGUGCCCAGAAGGAACAAAAAGCAUCCUUGGUGUAGCCCCAUCAAAGGAAAUAUUGUUUGUAAAACAUCACCGUGUUAUGCUGAGCUAUCGUGGGCAAAAGAGACAGAAAGACAGAUGCGGAUAGAGACAAAGAUAUGGAGAUAUAUUCAGGUUGAAUUUGUCCUAUAUGAUUUUGGCCUUCUGCUUGCCAAAACAAAGCAAAAAAAUUGCUCAUGUUAUUAAACAUAAAUUAAAG